Ailuropoda melanoleuca (giant panda) is the source of this 2408-nucleotide long non-coding RNA. RefSeq lists it as uncharacterized. The transcript has 6 exons. The record is from RefSeq and is a predicted model, not a curated record. Lineage: Eukaryota; Metazoa; Chordata; Mammalia; Carnivora; Ursidae.
CAAUUUGGGCUUCUUCCAGAGCUGAAAACCAAUUACAAAUAUGAAACAGAUUUCACUACUGGACUUGAAUGCUAUAUGAAAAAACAAUAAGAUCUUCAAAACAAUUGGAAAAGAUCCUCACCAAAGAAUAGAUGGAAUGUGAAUGGCAAGAUAUCAAAGAGGUUUUGGUAUUAGGUCUGACCCGUAACAAACCCUGAAACGUUGGUGGAGUGAAUAAAGAAUCUCAGUUGAUACAUCAUGGGAACUAUACUGCGACCCAGCAAUGCAGUGUGUGUGACUCCCAGUGCCAUUCCAAGAAAAAAAAAAUAAAGGCACUUUCAACAAGUGGACAAAACUGCUUCAAUCAAUAGAUUUUUGCUUUUCUCUCUCCUGGAAUAAUUGCUGUUUUUUGCUUCCUUGCCAUUUCAUCAUAUUCCUUGAGAUGGUGGUAAGGUAGUGAGCUCUAAGCAUGUGGCAAGCAUUAAGUGCAUUGAAAUGGAGAUGCAUCUUUGAGAUAAAUAGCCCAGGAGCUGAGUUCCGUGGAGGAGCUGAGAAGUUGAGUUCUGGAGCAGGACCCAAACAAGUGCACAGUUGAGGUCUUGCCUCCAAAUGGACAUGUAACUCACCUAUCAAGAUGUAUCAGAAAUGAAAUUUCAGAAAAUAUUGUCACAGCUAAGGCUGCAUAUAAACUCUGUGUCUUGUGACUCCAAAGCAGUGGCACUUAAGGUGGGAAAGUCUGGAAGAUUGGAAUGGCCCCUUUUAAUACUGUCCCACAGCUGUCAAUACCAGUACUCUGCUUUCUCCUGGCUCCAGGAAGUGUCUAACUUUUGCCUAACAACACAAUAAAGAGAAGAGCCCAAGGACUUGAGAGAAGGCUUAGAAUGUGAUGAUGGAGGCAUAGCUCUCCUAAGGGAGAUGAAGGGACUUUCUCAUCCCUGGUUCACUUGAAUGUGCAGCGUCCAGUGAAAGUGACAAGAGAGGAUGGUGUUUGUGAAAUGUACACAUGCAGUGACAUCCUCACCUUUCCAACACUGAUGCCACUGUAGAUGUGUUGCCAGCCCUCUCUACACUCUCCACACAGCAUGAUCUACUGUGGCGGGCCCUUUACCGAAUUUUUAACCCUUGAAGAUGCUAAGAUGGAAUUACACAUAUGGUACGAACAGAAUGAAUGGAAGCAAGUGAGUGCAAAGAGACACAUACAUUUAACCUCAGGAAGAUGGACAAAUAGGCCUUUCUUAAAUUGGCAUAGAACUAUUGGAUUGUUCUUUAUGUGAUUAUUCCUUCUUCAUUUUAGUGAAAUAUUUCAGUUUGGGGAAAUACCUUUCCUUGCUAAUAAGAUAUAAGAAGAGAACACUUCAAAUAUUUGCAGCUCUUCCUCUAGAAUUUUGUGCUAAUUUUGUCUCUCUCCCUCCUCUUGGUAUUUCUUUCUAUGCAAAUCAUUCUUUUAUAUAUCUUCCAAUGUAUUUUUCAUGAAGAAAACAUAGUAGAAAACCAAAGAUAAGCAGAACUUUUCAAGGCAGAGCUUCACCUUUCUCCAUGAAGUGCUUCCAGACUUUUUUUUUUUAAAGAUUUUAUUUAUUUAUUUGACAGAGAGAGACAGCCAGCGAGAGAGGGAACACAAACAGGGGGAGUGGGAGAGGAAGAAGCAGGCUCCUAGCAGAGAAGCCUGAUGUGGGGCUCCAUCCCAGAACACCAGGAUCACACCCUGAGCCGAAGGCAGACGCUUAACGACUGGCCACCCAGGCGCCCCGCUUCCACACUUCUUUAGAUGUAAUGCUCUUGAAGGCAAGAAACAUGUUGAUUUUAUCUUUGUUGGUGUCUGGCACAUAUUAGGUACACAGUGAAUUAUCUGACUAUCAAUUAAUGAGUAAACAAGAAUGGAUGAAGAAAGUAGAUGUUUUUGUAAGGCUCUCAAAGAUGAUUUAUAGAACAUUUUGGAAAUGGGCCCACUUUGUUUCCAAAGGAGAUUUUACUUUCAAAUUAAAAAAAAAAUUUAGCCAAAUGAGAUUUUGGGGGAUUUCAUGUGAUUAACUCUUUACAUUAUCUCGUAGUAAUUAUACAGAAAUCUCUAUUUAUGUAAACAUGGUGAAUGCAUCAUAACACUAGAAUAAGUGUACAAAUACUGCAUGUCAAAUUAGGUUAUAAUCACUUUCAAGGGACGUGAUUUCCUAGUUAAACAGAUUCGUUUACAUCUUGCGAAAUAAAAAAUAAGUGAAAAUAACUAUAUAAAAUCAGGCUUACAGCUGGACAGAUCUUCUUGGCAAUGGUCCAGGCACUGAGCGGGGAAAGCCCCUCCAGCUGAGGGAUUCUCAGGAUGCCCAAGAUGACGGCAGGCUCGGCCUAGAGAGGGGCCUUCAGCUGCCGUCCUGACUGCUCUGGGUCCCUGGCUAUCUGCGGGGAGAUGGGCUGUCUUCACAUUUCAGGUGAGA